RNAcentral lists this long non-coding RNA (433 nucleotides) under Ananas comosus (pineapple). RNAcentral describes it as "long non-coding RNA (ACOM_LNC004047)". Lineage: Eukaryota; Viridiplantae; Streptophyta; Magnoliopsida; Poales; Bromeliaceae. The record is from RNAcentral.
UAUGUUAAGAGCAAUUUUGUGCAUUAAAAAAAAAAAAAAAACUUCAAAUACCACUUCUGUGGUAUCGCAUUUUUUUACUUUAGUGCUCUGUGAUUUUAAGUGUAUCAAUUUAGUAUCCCAUGAUUUUAUUUUUCUCUUUUUAUUAUUCAUUUCACUAAUUUUUUCGUUAAAUUAGUGACAAAGUUAAAACUAAAGGGUACUAAAGUGAAUAUUCGAUAAAUCUAGCUCGAAUAUCUGAAGCUUUUUUUAUAUAAUUUAAGACGAAAAAAAAAAAAAAUCACAUGAUACUAACUGUGAUACAUAUUAAAUCAAAGAAUAUUAAAAUAAAAAAAUACGAAACCACAAGCACAAUAUUUGAAGUUUACCUUAAAAAAAAAAUUCGAUAGUUUUAAUACUCGUCAACAGCGAAAUGCAGAUGAAAGAUAUGCAAGUA